UCUUCCGGACCGAAACGCGCAGCCGCACUUCUCUGUUCCGGCAGGUGGAAUAGGCCCCCGACCUGGGAUCUCUACCCAAAAGGAGGAGGUUAGAACACAGGUGUCCUAUUCCGUUGAGUCCUCCAUCAUUUACUAGACAAAGCCGCGCAAUUAGAAUAACAAAAUGCAGUCGGGAGAAAUCGCUAACCUCUGUAAUCCCAGCAUUUUGAGAGGCUGAGGCUAGAGGAUCGCUUGAGUCCAGGAGUUCAAGCCUGCAGUGUGCUAUGAUCGGACCAUUGCACUUCAGCCUGGGCGACAGAGUGAGACCCUGUCUUUAAUAAUAAUAAUAAUAAUAAAUCCAAAACAUCAAGAAAUUGGGUGUGUCUUUUUAAAAUACACUUAGAAAGGGAACAGUUAGAAUCUUAAUUUCAGGGAUACUUUACUCCUAAACCUAUUCUUUUUGUUUAUGCAGAGAUUGACCAUGCCUACAGGGACAACUGGAAAACAGAAAUGAAACCAUAUAAGCCAAGCACUCAGGCAAUCUUUGUCCUCCCAGUUGACUUAAGAACGCUUGCGAAGAAAAUGUGGCCUCUUUAGAUCUCAGGUAAGGGAUCCGGCUGCUCUCUUUUUCCUGAUACACCUCCAUCCUGCAGGAUAGUUGGGAGUGAGGUGUGCUGAGAAGGAACAAGUUGUCCGCUUUAACUUGACAAGGCACGCGUCCCCCCUGCCUCCUCCUUGAAGUAUUCUAGUCGCUGGAAUAAAUGUUCAGGUGUUUUGGCUUUUGUCUCUUCCAGUUCCGCCCCUCUGUGCCUCUCCGGCAGAGGGCGCCUUUUCCACUGGGUCUCCCUGUGGUCUGCUGGGAGUUUUAUUCGGUUUGGACCGGGAAGGAGCUGUGUUGGAUCCGCGCCCCUUGCCAGGGCGCCGCCUUUGGCCCGUGUCGGCUUCAUGUGAGGAACACUGGCACCAAAGAGGCUGGAAGAGGACAAAAACAGCAGCAUUGAAAGGGAUGGUGCAUCACAAAAAGUGCCAGGCAAGGUGAUGUCUGAGAGCAACUAAGACUCUCAAGGCAAUAUUAAAUGCAUUUCUAGAAAAAAAAAAAAGAGGAGAAAGUUUCCACUUAUUAGGAAAAGAUGAUCAACUAACAUAAUAUUUUCCACACACUCAUACUGCCCUAUCUCAUUCUCUACCCACUCCCACUAAGCUGUGUGUGUUGGGUUUGAGUGUGCAAAUCAAGUAGGUUUGUGUACACAUAGACAGUCCUUUGAUGUCUUGAAAAUGAUCAGGUGUAGGUGAAAUUUUUUAUACUUACUUUUCCAUCACCAUAAAG
Molecule: long non-coding RNA, 1306 nt
Filed under: Macaca fascicularis (crab-eating macaque)
Lineage: Eukaryota; Metazoa; Chordata; Mammalia; Primates; Cercopithecidae
Description: lncRNA (ENSMFAG00000056259.1)
Source: RNAcentral